This 406-nucleotide ribosomal RNA is filed under the name uncultured bacterium. RNAcentral describes it as "partial 16S ribosomal RNA". It matches the Rfam family "Bacterial small subunit ribosomal RNA", at positions 29 to 526 of the family's 1533-position model. The record is from RNAcentral.
AUUGAACGCUGGCGGCAGGCCUAACACAUGCAAGUCGAACGAGUGGCGGACGGGUGAGUAAUGUCUGGGAAACUGCCCGAUGGAGGGGGAUAACUACUGGAAACGGUAGCUAAUACCGCAUACCAUCAGAUGUGCCUAGAUGGGAUUAGCUGGGAGGUGGGGUAACGGCUCACCUAGGCGACGAUCCCUAGCUGGUCCGAGAGGAUGACCAGCCAGACUGGGACUGAGACACGGUCCAGACGCCUACGGGAGGCAGCAGUGGGGAAUAUUGCGCAAUGGGCGCAAGCCUGAUGCAGCCAUGCCGCGUGUGUGAAGAAGGCCUUCGGGUUGUAAAGCACUUUCAGCGGGGAGGCGUUACCCACAGAAGAAGCACCGGCUAACUCCGUGCCAGCAGCCGCGGUAAUAC